Molecule: long non-coding RNA, 7904 nt
Filed under: Nicotiana tabacum (common tobacco)
Lineage: Eukaryota; Viridiplantae; Streptophyta; Magnoliopsida; Solanales; Solanaceae
Description: long non-coding RNA (NTAB_LNC009050)
Source: RNAcentral
CCAUCGUCUGAAUCAGAGUUUAUCUCCGUUGCAUCUAAAAGUUCUCCAGUGACUAUAGAAAGAAUCUCGAAUUGUUCAAUCUCUUUAGGCAUGAAAUAAUCUUGUCCAAUAAGAGGAACUAAUUGAGCUUCAUCCUUUGAAAAUUGAGAAUGCAUAUCAGGUUCAUUACCUUGGGGAUUUUCAUCAAGCACCUCGUCUACGACAAUUGCAUACUUGUCUCUAUCAACUAGACGAGCUUUGGGUUCAUGAAUUUUGGGGAUUUGAGUAAUGCAGACACAUAGGUCGAUGGUCGAACCAAUGUAGGGAAAUUGACGUAAUCAACAAAAGCUUGUGCAGUAUCUGUCAUUCUCGACGAAAUAGUGAAGGUCCGUUUUUGAAAAUGCAGAAAAAUUUCUCCUUGAAAUGGUUCCAAUCAUAGAAUUGGAACCAAUUGAACCACGCGAGGGCAUCGCCUUCAAGAUAGAAGGAAGGAAGAGGCAGCCAGUCCUUCUUGGAGAAGUCAAGGUAUGUGAAGUACAACUCAGCCAGAAAAAUCCAUCUCUCCGAGUUGCCGUCGCCACUGAAUCUAAGUAGAAACAUGUCGUUGUUGAAGUCCGAUAGAUAAAAGCACCAAUGUAACAAUACUGAAAGUCCUCACUAUAUUAAUAACGACUGGAACACUGAUUACAACUUUGAGAUAACAAUUGCAACUCUCAAACUACUGAAUUACAAUAGAAACUACUGAAGUAACAAGUAACUAAGGAUAGAGAUAAGAAAGGGAUGAGAAGCUAGACUCAGAAUUGGGGAUGAGAGGAUUCUGACAUUUUUUUCAACAAUAUUCGCAUAAACCCAAAUCACAGACCAUUGCCCCUUAUAAUAUAGAAGCAUUCUUACGCCUAUUACUCAACCUGGAUCCCAAAUUAACCUGGCCCUAUUGCUUGUACUUGGCCCAAUAGUUCUUUUUAAUCCAAUAACUACUUGUGUGAGAUUGUGCUGGUGUUGGUUCAUAACAUACUCUUUCCCGAAGUACUUGCUCUUUUAUCAAAGUUAAUUAGUGAUAUAUUAUAUUGUUUAAUAGAGAAUAUACCAUAAUAUGUUUAAUAGGUACCUGUGCUUUUGGAGAUAGCAUGUGUCCAAUAGAAUUAGUUGAGAUGCGCGCAAAGACACCGCUAUCAUAACAAAAAAAAGUAGUCAUUAGAAUGGGUAUUGUAGUGUCUUUGUCCAACUUUGAAUGGAUUGUCUAGAAGUCCAUAACAAUGACUUACUCUUCUACUUUUAUUUCCACUCGUUGAAGCAAUAAACCCCAAAAUACUAUUAUCACAAACGUAGAAUAAAUUGAAUCCUAUGCUUUCUUUUCUAAUUUCUAGUUGUAUCCAUUGAGUAGUUAUACAAACACUCACUUUGCACAAGAUUUACUGCAAAUUUUAUUUUCUCCCUAAAAGCGUCCCUUUUUGAUGGUCUAGAUUAGGUAACACAGAUAGGAAAGACGGGAUGGGGAAGGAUGGGGUAACAGGUUACUGGAACAACAUAUAGUAAUAAGAAAGGUAAACGGAAAAGGAAUGAUUUGCAAUAGAAAAUUCCAAAUUUAUGAAAAGCCUGGUUGUUUAGAAGCAUUUCUCUUAGCUGUUCUCCCAAAAAAGGUUCCAAUUUUAGGGCCCGCGAAGUUAACUUAAGGGGAGUAUCUUAUCAGUUGGUUGACUAUCUAAAUUUUUACCUUUUUGGUGAGCGUUUGAUUUCCCGCCUUGUAAUUAUCCCCUCCCUUUAAAUAAAUAUAUAAAAAAGAUGGUUAACUUGUGCAUUUUGCUUGUAUUCCUUGUCUAUGAAACUUGUGCAGUCAGACUGAACCCCUGUUUAAUUUGGAGGACAUGUGCUUGUGUUCUGUGUUAAUGGACGAGGUAGUUAUCCGUGUACUGUGCAAUGAUAGUUAAUUUGUCAAAGAGCACACACAGUUUACAACAUUUCAUAAAAUUUAUCAUUAUGCUGAGAAUUUUAUCCUUGGAUUUGACUCCACUUAAAAGGCGAUAUAGUCUUGGUUUUGAGCCAUUAAUUAACUAUAGCAGCAAGUAGCGUAGCUAUUUCUUAUUUUAUUUGUAACAGGUAGAGAGGGCAGAGAAAAGGAAUGUAGAAUAGCAGCAUAAACUUUUGGGAGUGCUCUUAAUAUAAGUUAAUAGUUUUCAAAACACAAUAAUUGUUCCUCCUGAUAUGAUGCACACUAACUAAUGUUUUUCCUAUUUGACUUGGAGCGAGAAAUGAUCCAUAGUUCCUAACAACAAUACUUCUGAGUGGAAGAAGCUCUAAAAUGACAUUUAUUGAUCUACUAGUUGCUUCACAAACCUGAUGGUUCUGAGGAUAAUGAUAAUGUUUGUAGCUUCAAUGAGGUUGAAGAGGCUAAGUCAAUUCUUAGAUUGAGAGAAAAAGCCCAAAACCAUGCAUUAUCUUUAGCUUUAGACUCAAAGUCAUACAUAUUUUUUCACAUGAAGCACUAAUAGUCCAUUUACUUUAACAAAGUAGUGCACUUUUAGUCAUAACACUGAGAAAAAAAACCCAAAACCAUACAUUAUCUUUGGAUUUAGACUCAAAGUCAUACAUAUUCUUCCACAUGGAGCACUAAUAGUCCAUUUACUUUAACAAAGUGGUGCAUUUUUAGUCAUAACACUAAACAUAUUUUUAUUUUUAACAAAAAUCUAAGAUCUGACAAAAUAUAUGUUCCAUUUAUUUUUUUGUUUAUCGAAAGAAAAAAAGAUGGCAGAUUUAUCUAGAUAGUAAAUAACAAAUAUACAUAAAAUUUACUUACUAUUUAAAUAUUUACUAUUUACUUACUAUACGUAAAAUGUACAUUUACUAAGAAAUGUUAAACACCGUUAAUUUUUAUUUGCAAUGAUUAUUAUCUAGAUAACCUCAAAUGUUAUCUAGAUUUCUUUAUUAUAUACAUAAAAUUUAUUUUAUUUUAUGUAUAUUUACUCGUAAUAANNNNNNNNNNNNNNNNNNNNNNNNNUAUUUACUAUACGUUGACUCCUUUUAAAAUAAAAAUCAAAUAAAUAUUUAUUUAUUUUAUGUCAACAUAUAGUAAAUUUUAUGUAUAUAAUAAAAAAAUCUAGAUAACAUUUGAGGUUAUCUAGAUAACAAUCAUGGCAAAUAAAAAUUAACGGUGUUUAACAUUUCUUAGUAAAUGUAUAUUUUACGCAUAGUAAAUAAAUAAUAAAUCGAUAAAUAGUAAGUAAAUUUUAUGUAUAUUUAUUAUUUACUAUCUAGAUAAAUCUGUCAUCUUUCUUUCUUUCGGUAAACAAGAAAAUAAAUUGAACAUAUAUUUUGUCAGAUCUUAGAUUUCUGUUAAAAAUUAAAAUAUAUUUAGUGUUAUGACUAAAAGUGCACCACUUUGUUAAAGUAAAUGGACUAUUAGUGCUCCAUAUGGAAGAAUAUGUAUGACUUUGAGUCUAGAGCCAAAGAUAAUGUAUGGUUUUGGACUUUUUCUCAGUGUUAUGACUAAAAGUGCACCACUUUGUUAAAGUAAAUGGACUAUUAGUGCUUCAUGUGAAAGAAUAUGUAUGACUUUGUGUCUAAAGCCAAAGAUAAUGUAUGGUUUUAGGCUUUUUCUCCUUAGAUUGAUCCCAAUUUGAAGUACAUGUUUGGUGUAUGCCAUUGUGUCUUUGCAGACAUCUUUGUUUGUACGCCCCUUACCGUUCUCGCUCAGUCGGUCUAUUGGUUCAAACUUUAAGAUAUCACCUGCUUCUUUGCAACAUUUUAUUGCCAUCUCUAUAGUUCCUUAUUCCUAUGUAUGACUAUUUUGGUUCCUCUAGCAAGAGUUGUGACUAGGAAACCUUCGGGCAUCACAAUGCUUCAAAGAAUUGGAACGGGAAUUUGCGUGUCUAUAUUGUUGGGAAGCGUAUCGAACUAAAUGAAGGAUAUAAUAAUUUCAAGAAAAAAAUAAUAAAAACUCGCAAAAUAAGACAAGAAGAGAUUUAUGUGGUUCGAUAAUUUUUGCCUACUUCAUGGCCACACAGAGAAUAUUUUAUUACUCUGAAGAGAAAAAAAAAAUUUGAGGGAUGAUUUACAAUUGAGGAAAGGGAUGCCUAUUUACAGAUAAAUAUCAGAAUAUGAACACUAUUUCUUUUCUUGCAUUCACACAUUUUCUUCUUUCCUCACAUCGUGGAUUUUGCUGUUGUUGACUUUUGAUGCAGCAUACAUUUCCUUCUUUGCCUUUUGCAUAUUGUUCUCUUUCUUCAUUAAGUAUUUCUUUGACUUUUUUUUUCUUUCUUUCACUAUUUAUUUUACAUCUAGGUUUGUUCCUUUCAAUCUCCCCACAAACUCAUAUACAUCAAAAGAAAUAUUACAUGUCUCUGUGUGGCGCCUUCACAUUAUUAAUUUUUAAGGCCAACUGAGGCAAUACAUAGAUCAACACAAACAUGUCUGACGGGUUCUUCGAUCCUGGUAUCUUCAUCAGGGACAGAGUUCUAUCUUCUAUCAACAAUUGGAUAUGAUGAUACCUCAGCUGGAUGUGUUUUGAUCUUGUAUAAAACACUAGAUUUUUGUUAAAAUGAAUUUCACUUUGGCUGUCACUGAAGAGUUCACAAUCGUCCUGCUUCUUGCCUAACUCUUCCAGAAAGUUCUUAAGCCAUAUCAUCUCUUUUGCAACUUCUGAGUUCGCCAUGUACUCUACUUCAGUUGUAGAUAGAGCAACACUUUUCUUAAGCCUGGACAUCAAACUAACAGUUGUACCAUCCAAAGUGAACACAUAGCCUGUAGUACUUUUUCGACUAUCCAGAUCACCACCUAGGUUUGCAUCAGAAAACCCUUGUAAAAUAAUACUACUCUUUCUGAAGCAAAGUGUCAUACCUGAAGUACCUUUGAAGUAUCGGAAGAUCCAUUUAACUCAUUCUCAAUGUUCCUUUCUAGGAUUUGACAUGUAACGACUAACAUCUGCAUAGGCUAUGUCAGUUCUGGUACACACCACAUACAUUAAGCUUCCUACUGCUGAAAUGUAACGACCCAGCCGGUUGUUUUGAGUAUUUUAGCCCUGAUCCCCUAUUUAUUGCCUCCUCUAUAUUGUAUUAUGGUUAUGUGACUUGCCUGGGGUGUUUGGUUUUGGUUCAAGUGAGUUUCAGAGUGAAAUGGGACACAUAGUCCCUAAGUUGAAUGCUUAAGUUGAAAGGUUGACUGUAGUUUGACUUUUGUGUAGACGACUCCAGAAUGAAGCUUUGACGGUUUCAAUAGCCCUGUAUAUUGAUUUUGUACUUAGGAGCGUGCUCGGAUGUUGACUUGGAGGUCCGUAGGUCAUUUCAGCUUGAAUUGGAGAAAGUUAGAAAGUUUAGAUUUGGAAGGUUAAAAAGUUUAAUCGGGAGUUGACUUUAUUAAUAUCAGGGGUAGGAUUUCGAUUCCGAAAGUUAGAAUAGGUCCAUAAUAUCAUUUAUGACUUGAGUGCAAAAUUUGAAGUCAAUCGUAGUUGUUUUGGUAUGAAUCGACAUUAGUUUUGGAAUUCGGAAGUUCAUAGUUUCAAUAGUCUUGAAUUGGGUUGCGAUUCAUAGAAUCGAUGUUGUUUGAUGUGAUUUUGGCCUCGAGUAGAUUCGUUAUGUGUUUUGGAACCUGUUGGUAUAUUCGGAGGGGGUCCCGGGGGCCCCGGGUGUGAUUCGGAUUGAAUCCGGAACAAAUUUGGACUUAGUCUUUUUGCUGAAGUUUUGGCCCUUCUAGUGUCAUCGCACCUGCGGAGGGAUUGGUCGUUGGUAAGGACUCGCGUGUGCGAGUGGUGAAGCGCAGAAGAGGAGAGGGUAAGCCCAGGUCUGGGCUCGUAUGUGCGAACACCUGGGCGCAGGUGCGCCUCCGCAGGAGCGGACCUUGCUUUUGCAGAAGCGGAAUUUGGGAGAGGCCUUAGGCAAGACCGUAGGUGCAGUCAUUUUCUCCGCAGAAGCGGGCACACUGGUGCAAGCUAGUGGUCCGCAGGAGCGGAAUGUUAAGACCUAAGUGGGAACCGCACCUGCGAUGGAUUUUCCGCAGAUACGAUUGUGUGAGCGCAGAUGCGGAAUCACUAGGCAUAAAAGUCCUAGUUCGAGGUUUUGAAUUCAUUAUCCAUUUUUGGACCUAGAGAUCUCGAUUUGUGGCGAUUUGUCGAGAGAUUAUCAAGAAAUUCAUUAGGGUAAGUGAUUCUAACUCGAUUUUGGUUAUAUUACACGAAUCCAUUAUUAUGUUCAUUAUUUAAUUAGUGAUUUGAGUUGGAAACUUGGGGAAAAAUUGUGAAAACUUCUUAGGCUAAAUUUUGGGAAUUUAAAAGGCGAUUUGAGGUUGGAUUUGAGUAAUUCUUGUAUGAUUUGACUCGUUAUCGAAUGGGUGUUCGAAUUUUAUAAUUUUGGUCGGGUUCCGAGACACGGGCCCGAGUUGACUUUUUCCUUUUUUGUAAAGAUCAUAACUUUAUUGUUCGAAAUAGUUUUCUAUAGUUUAUAUUUAUGGUAUAUAGUUGUUUUUGGCUAAAUUCAAGCUGUUCAGAGUUGGAUAAUCGAGGAAAAGGCUUACUAGUGGAUUGAGUUAGCGUGUUUUGAGGUAAGUGUCUUGCCUAACUUUGUGUAGGAUAAUUACCCCUUAGGAUUGGUGUUGGUUUGCGUUAAUUGUGAUAUGUGAAAGCCGUAUACGCAAGGUGAUGAGUGUGUACACGGGCUAAAUAUGGGAAUUUACUAGUUUUAGAUAUGUAGAUUCCUUUCAUGCCUUAAUUGAGUUAUCUUAACAUGUUAUAAUCAUCAUCAUUAGUCUUUCUUCAUAUGUUCUACUUAUCGUAUCUCUUACUUGUUAAUUGCCUUUACAUGUUUAGUUAAAGUAUUGUUUCCUCUAUUCCCUAUUUAUUAUUUAACCAUUGAGUUCUUUACCUGAAGUUGUUAUUUUUGAAAUAUCUUGUUGUUGAAAUUGGUAUUGAGUUAUAAAGGUCGUGAUCUACGUUGAAGCAAAGUUGUAAAAUUGUGAAAUACUAUUCGUGUUGAGUUAUUCACUCCCGAUUAUUAUUGUGAGACGCUUGUGCAUAUUAUGGUUGAGCCAUGGGCUAUUUAUUGUAAAAACAGAAUUGUUGUUGGUUUCUUAGCAAGUUGUGAUAUUGGGCACUUGAUGUACAAUUUGUGAAACAUUGUAAUAUUGAUACGCAUGCGGUGGUAUAAACGUUUGGGGUUGAAAUGCAUGCGGUGAGAUAAGGUGGGCUUGAUAUGCGUGUUUCUAGUAGGGGAACUACUUGAAGCCACGCGGUAUGAUAAGGUGGGCUAAAAUGCGGGAAGCUAUUUCGGAAAAAGUAAUUUUUAAAACUAAAUGCAAGGCUCCCGCGGUGAUAUAAGAAAAGAUUGUGAAUUGUUUUGUUAUUUGAGACUACGAGGCGGCACCUCGGUAGUAAUUCUUGUUGAUACUUUUCUAUUUCUUCACUUGUGUUUUGUUGCUUUGUUCCGUAUCAUAGCAUUUCUUGUUUUCUUCCGUGAUGCAUUAUUUGUCUUAGUUCAGUGUAGCUAUUCUCAGUGUAUUUAUUUAUUGUCUCAUUUCUAUUGUUAUCAUUAUUACGUUGUUAUAUACCUUUUCAGUUUCUUAUUUAUUCCAGUAGGGCCUUGACCUGAUCUCGAUACUACUUUACUGAGGUUAGGCUUGGCACUUACUAGGUACCGUUGUGGUGUACUCAUGUUGCGCUUCUACACAUAUUUUGUGCAGAUCCAGGUACCUCCUACUAGUCCAGGCACCAGUGAGACGAGCCAGUUUCGGAGACUUCAAGGUAUGCAAGCCGGCGUCCGCAGGCCUCGGAGUCACCCUUUAUCUAGUCUAUUUCAUUUUUUUUAUCCUUUUAUAGACACUGAUGUAUAGGGAUGUAUAGUACCAUCUUAUAGAGCUUGUGACUUAUAUUCGCCGGAUUUUGAGAAGUUGUAUUCUGUUGAGUUACGGAGUUUCUUUAUAUGAUAGUGGUUGAGUUAUUUGAA